GGGGAUGUGGCGCAAGCGGUAGCGCGCUCGCCUAGCAUGCGUGCGGCCUGGGUUCGAUCCUCAGCACCA
This 69-nucleotide transfer RNA is filed under the name Ictidomys tridecemlineatus (thirteen-lined ground squirrel). Its description in RNAcentral is "Spermophilus tridecemlineatus (thirteen-lined ground squirrel) tRNA". It matches the Rfam family "tRNA". Rfam says of the family: Transfer RNA (tRNA) molecules are approximately 80 nucleotides in length. Their secondary structure includes four short double-helical elements and three loops (D, anti-codon, and T loops). Lineage: Eukaryota; Metazoa; Chordata; Mammalia; Rodentia; Sciuridae. The record is from Rfam by way of RNAcentral.